CCUACGGGAGGCAGCAGUGGGGAAUAUUGCACAAUGGGCGCAAGCCUGAUGCAGCGACGCCGCGUGAGGGAUGACGGCCUUCGGGUUGUAAACCUCUUUCAGUAGGGAAGAAGCGAAAGUGACGGUACCUGCAGAAGAAGCGCCGGCUAACUACGUGCCAGCAGCCGCGGUAAUACGUAGGGCGCAAGCGUUAUCCGGAAUUAUUGGGCGUAAAGAGCUCGUAGGCGGUUUGUCGCGUCUGCCGUGAAAGUCCGGGGCUCAACUCCGGAUCUGCGGUGGGUACGGGCAGACUAGAGUGAUGUAGGGGAGACUGGAAUUCCUGGUGUAGCGGUGAAAUGCGCAGAUAUCAGGAGGAACACCGAUGGCGAAGGCAGGUCUCUGGGCAUUAACUGACGCUGAGGAGCGAAAGCAUGGGGAGCGAACAGGAUUAGAUACCCUGGUAGUCCAUGCCGUAAACGUUGGGCACUAGGUGUGGGGGACGAUUCCACGUUUUCCGCGCCGUAGCUAACGCAUUAAGUGCCCCGCCUGGGGAGUACGGCCGCAAGGCUAAAAACUCAAAAGAAGUAGUACGGCGUCGAGACGUGCCGAACGGACGACGACCAAGGGAAGGUUAAGGGAG
Molecule: ribosomal RNA, 619 nt
Filed under: uncultured bacterium
Lineage: Bacteria
Description: bacterial SSU rRNA
Rfam family: Bacterial small subunit ribosomal RNA
Source: RNAcentral